UUGAAUCCACACGUGUUUUCA
Molecule: non-coding RNA, 21 nt
Filed under: Caenorhabditis elegans
Lineage: Eukaryota; Metazoa; Nematoda; Chromadorea; Rhabditida; Rhabditidae
Source: RNAcentral